GACAGGUGCUGCUGGCUUUCAGGGUCUAUAGGGAAGACCCAGGUGAAAAGGCAAGUUGACUAUUCCUGCAGCAAAGGGCCUCCAUCAAGCAUCAUGAGGCCAUAAAAUGCCAGCUCCUUGAGAAGAAAAUGAUUCUUCUUCAGACUGUGGUCCACUCCUCAACGAUAUCUUAUGUAACAACUGAGGAUGAGAGAGGUGAAAUGAUUGGCUGUACAUGGGGAGAGCCUUCUAUCAAAACUUCUCUCUCUCUCUCCUCUACCAAGUGUUACCCACCCUAGAGUUUAUCAGAUAAAAUUCUAUGCAGUGGCGACUACUGGCUAGACACUGGAGUGGUGUUAUUAUAGAGGACACAAACAGGUAAACAUAUACUUACAAUAUAAUAUGAUAUGGGCUGUAACAAAAUUUAGCACAAGAUAUAAAGUGAUGUGGAGAAAGGAAUAGUGCCUUCUGUGUGUAUGUGCAUUCAUGUAUGUGUGUGUCUUGUAUAAGGCAGGAUGGAUUCAGAGAGAGGUGUUGUUCAGAAUUUCACAAGGGAGGACUUCUUGAUUUGGAUUUUAUUAUAAGAUCAAGGAGUUCAGCAGGUAAACAAGGAAGAGAAGAACAUUUUAAGCAUAUCCAAUAGGGAGUGUUAAAUAUAAGGAGGCAUGAGAUGGCAUGGUAUAUUUAGGGAGCCACAGUGGCUUGGUGUUGGUAUAGUCUAGAGUGUUUAGGAGCAGCUGAUGAUGAGGCUGGAGUAGGAGUCGGGAGGCAGGUGAUGGCUGGGAACAUGCUUUUAUGCUCCUAAGGCAGUUGCUUUAGAUCCAUCAGCUAGUGUUUUCCAUCAUGGAAUGUUGCAUCUAGGGGC
Molecule: non-coding RNA, 844 nt
Organism: Microcebus murinus (gray mouse lemur)
Lineage: Eukaryota; Metazoa; Chordata; Mammalia; Primates; Cheirogaleidae
Source: RefSeq, a predicted model, not a curated record